GACGAACGCUGGCGGCGUGCCUAAUACAUGCAAGUCGAACGAAGCUGCUUUAACUGGUGCUUGCACCGACUUAAACAACUGAGUGGCGAACGGGUGAGUAACACGUGGGUAACCUGCCCCAAAGCGGGGGAUAACAUUUGGAAACAGAUGCUAAUACCGCAUAAUCACAGAAACCACAUGGUUUCUGUGUCAAAGAUGGUUUCGGCUAUCACUUUGGGAUGGACCCGGGGCGUAUUAGCGAGUUGGUAAGGUAAUGGCUUACCAAGGCAAUGAUACGUAGCCGAACUGAGAGGUUGAUCGGCCACAUUGGGACUGAGACACGGCCCAAACUCCUACGGGAGGCAGCAGUAGGGAAUCUUCCACAAUGGACGAAAGUCUGAUGGAGCAACGCCGCGUGAGUGAAGAAGGUUUUCGGAUCGUAAGACUCUGUUGUCAGAGAAGAACGUGUGCGAGAGUAACUGUUCGUGCAGUGACGGUAUCUGGCCAGAAAGCCACGGCUAACUACGUGCCAGCCGCCGCCUGUAA
RNAcentral lists this ribosomal RNA (525 nucleotides) under uncultured bacterium. RNAcentral describes it as "partial 16S ribosomal RNA". It matches the Rfam family "Bacterial small subunit ribosomal RNA", at positions 28 to 523 of the family's 1533-position model. The record is from RNAcentral.